GAUGAACGCUGGCGGCGUGCUUAACACAUGCAAGUCGAACGGUGAAGCAGGAGCUUGCUCUUGUGGAUCAGUGGCGAACGGGUGAGUAACACGUGAGCAACCUGCCCCUGACUCUGGGAUAAGCGCUGGAAACGGCGUCUAAUACUGGAUAUGUGAUGUGACCGCAUGGUCUGCAUCUGGAAAGAAUUUCGGUUGGGGAUGGGCUCGCGGCCUAUCAGCUUGUUGGUGAGGUAAUGGCUCACCAAGGCGUCGACGGGUAGCCGGCCUGAGAGGGUGACCGGCCACACUGGGACUGAGACACGGCCCAGACUCCUACGGGAGGCAGCAGUGGGGAAUAUUGCACAAUGGGCGGAAGCCUGAUGCAGCAACGCCGCGUGAGGGAUGACGGCCUUCGGGUUGUAAAGCUCUUUUACCCGGGAUGAUAAUGACAGUACCGGGAGAAUAAGCUCCGGCUAACUCCGUGCCAGCAGCCGCGGUAA
Molecule: ribosomal RNA, 479 nt
Filed under: uncultured bacterium
Lineage: Bacteria
Description: partial 16S ribosomal RNA
Rfam family: Bacterial small subunit ribosomal RNA
Source: RNAcentral